AGAGUUUGAUCCUGGCUCAGGAUGAACGCUAGCGACAGGCUUAACACAUGCAAGUCGAGGGGCAGCAUAAAAGUAGCAAUACUUUGGUGGCGACCGGCGCACGGGUGAGUAACGCGUAUGCAACCUACCUAUCAGAGGGGAAUAACCCGGCGAAAGUCGGACUAAUACCGCAUAAAACAGGGGCACCGCAUGGUGAUAUUUGUUAAAGAAAUUCGCUGAUAGAUGGGCAUGCGUUCCAUUAGGUAGUUGGUGAGGUAACGGCUCACCAAGCCGACGAUGGAUAGGGGAACUGAGAGGUUGGUCCCCCACACUGGUACUGAGACACGGACCAGACUCCUACGGGAGGCAGCAGUGAGGAAUAUUGGUCAAUGGGCGAGAGCCUGAACCAGCCAAGUCGCGUGAAGGAAGAAGGAUCUAUGGUUCGUAAACUUCUUUUGCAGGGGAAUAAAGUGCAGGACGUGUCCUGUUUUGUAUGUACCCUGAGAAUAAGGAUCGGCUAACUCCGUGCCUGCAGCCGCGGUAAUACGGAGGAUCCGAGCGUUAUCCGGAUUUAUUGGGUUUAAAGGGUGCGUAGGUGGUUUGAUAAGUCAGCGGUGAAAGUUUGCAGCUUAACUGUAAAAAUGCCGUUGAAACUGUCGGACUUGAGUGUAAAUGAGGUAGGCGGAAUGCGUGGUGUAGCGGUGAAAUGCAUAGAUAUCACGCAGAACUCCGAUUGCGAAGGCAGCUUACUAAGCUACAACUGACACUGAAGCACGAAAGCGUGGGGAUCAAACAGGAUUAGAUACCCUGGUAGUCG
This 796-nucleotide ribosomal RNA is filed under the name uncultured bacterium. Its description in RNAcentral is "bacterial SSU rRNA". It matches the Rfam family "Bacterial small subunit ribosomal RNA", at positions 8 to 796 of the family's 1533-position model. The record is from RNAcentral.